GACGAACGCUGGCGGCGUGCCUAAUACAUGCAAGUCGAGCGCAGGAAGUCAACCGAACCCUUCGGGGGGACGUUGACGGAAUGAGCGGCGGACGGGUGAGUAACACGUAAAGAACCUGCCCUCAGGUCUGGGAUAACCACGAGAAAUCGGGGCUAAUACCGGAUGGGUCAUCGGACCGCAUGGUCCGAGGAUGAAAGGCGCUUCGGCGUCGCCUGGGGAUGGCUUUGCGGUGCAUUAGCUAGUUGGUGGGGUAACGGCCCACCAAGGCGACGAUGCAUAGCCGACCUGAGAGGGUGAUCGGCCACACUGGGACUGAGACACGGCCCAGACUCCUACGGGAGGCAGCAGUAGGGAAUCUUCCACAAUGGACGAAAGUCUGAUGGAGCAACGCCGCGUGAACGAUGAAGGCCUUUCGGGUCGUAAAGUUUCUGUUGUAAAGGGA
RNAcentral lists this ribosomal RNA (442 nucleotides) under Bacillus sp. oral taxon B77. RNAcentral describes it as "bacterial SSU rRNA". It matches the Rfam family "Bacterial small subunit ribosomal RNA", at positions 28 to 446 of the family's 1533-position model. Lineage: Bacteria; Bacillati; Bacillota; Bacilli; Caryophanales; Bacillaceae. The record is from RNAcentral.